This 274-nucleotide ribosomal RNA is filed under the name uncultured bacterium. RNAcentral describes it as "partial 16S ribosomal RNA". It matches the Rfam family "Bacterial small subunit ribosomal RNA", at positions 523 to 796 of the family's 1533-position model. The record is from RNAcentral.
AUACAGAGGGUGCGAGCGUUAAUCGGAAUUACUGGGCGUAAAGCGCGCGUAGGCGGCUUAUUAAGUCAGAUGUGAAAUCCCCGGGCUCAACCUGGGAACUGCAUCUGAUACUGGUAAGCUAGAGUUUUGGAGAGGGAAGUAGAAUUUCAGGUGUAGCGGUGAAAUGCAUAGAGAUCUGAAGGAAUACCAGUGGCGAAGGCGACUUCCUGGCCAAAAACUGACGCUGAGGUGCGAAAGCGUGGGUAGCAAACGGGAUUAGAUACCCCAGUAGUCC